AACCCGUCGCUGAUCUCCACGCCCAGGUGGCCGCUCUCGAUGGCGAUCCUCUCGGCGCUGUCGGCGGGGAGGCACUUGUGCAGCGAGUCGAACACCACGGAGAAGUACCGGAGACUGGCCGUGAAAGGUGGAAGCAGCAGCCGCGCCAGCCGCGCCUUGGUUCGCCGCAGCUCGUCGUGGCUCGUGCCGGAGCCGGUGAUUCGCAGGGAAACUGGCUCGUCGCCGUCGCCGUCGUGUUAUGCGCUGCUCGUUCUCGCGCUCGUGCUCGCGGCGGCGGCCGACAGGGACUAGAUCAAGGAGGGCCACUGGAAGUCGUACGACACGUCGAGGUCGACCACGUGGAGGUGCCGGCGAUGGUGGCCGCCGCUCUGGAACGCCUCCGCGAUGGCGACUGCGAGUGAACCGGAGAGGCGAGAGCCGCGGCGGCUGCGGCUGCGAGUGAACUCGAGAGGCAAG
This 456-nucleotide unclassified non-coding RNA is filed under the name Zea mays. RNAcentral describes it as "misc RNA Zm00001eb246970". The record is from RNAcentral. Lineage: Eukaryota; Viridiplantae; Streptophyta; Magnoliopsida; Poales; Poaceae.